AUUGAACGCUGGCGGCAGGCUUAACACAUGCAAGUCGAGCGGGAACUUCGGUCCUAGCGGCGAACGGGUGAGGAAUGCUUGGGAAUCUGCCUUGUAGUGGGGGAUAACGUUUCGAAAGGAACGCUAAUACCGCAUACGUCCUACGGGAGAAAGGGGGGGAUCUUCGGACCUCUCGCUAUAAGAUGAGCCCAAGUCGGAUUAGCUAGUUGGUGGGGUAAAGGCUCACCAAGGCGACGAUCCGUAGCUGGUCUGAGAGGAUGAUCAGCCACACUGGAGCUGAGACACGGUCCAGACUCCUACGGGAGGCAGCAGUGGGGAAUAUUGGACAAUGGGCGAAAGCCUGAUCCAGCCAUGCCGCGUGUGUGAAGAAGGCCUUCGGGUUGUAAAGCACUUUAAGCGAGGAGGAAUGGCUCUGGGUUAAUACCCUUGAGCAGUGACGUUACUCGCAGAAUAAGCACCGGCUAACUCUGUGCCAGCCGCCGCCGUAA
This 488-nucleotide ribosomal RNA is filed under the name uncultured bacterium. RNAcentral's name for it is "partial 16S ribosomal RNA". It matches the Rfam family "Bacterial small subunit ribosomal RNA", at positions 30 to 523 of the family's 1533-position model. The record is from RNAcentral.